This is a long non-coding RNA of Oncorhynchus nerka (sockeye salmon), 1372 nucleotides long. RefSeq lists it as uncharacterized. NCBI's taxonomy places the organism in Eukaryota, Metazoa, Chordata, Actinopteri, Salmoniformes, Salmonidae. The record is from RefSeq and is a predicted model, not a curated record. The transcript has 3 exons.
GUGUGGCCACUAGCCUAUAUGAAGGCCCAAAAUUGUGUGUUCCUUUCUGCUCUGACAAUGGCAUGCCCAUUCGUGCGAGAUGUGGUGGAUGAAGAAGCACUUGUGCUGAGGAGAGCCUUCAGGCGAGAAAGGGUCUUCAGGGACCGGUUGGACCCACUGGCCUUCCCUGAUGACCAUCUAUAUGAAAGAUACAGGUUUUCUGCAGAUGGCAUCAGGUAUCUAUGCAGACUACUGGGUCCCAGGAUUAAGCACCGCACUGCACGGAGCCAUGCACUGAGUGUGGAGCAAAUGGUUUGUGUGGCCUUGCGCUUUUUGCUAGUGGAGCCUUCCUGUACUCAGUGGGGGAUGCAGAACAGCUGAACAAGGCCACAAUUUGCCGCACAAUAAGGAGUGUGUGUCUGGCUAUCAAAGCAUUAGCAGAUGUCUUCAUCUCCUUCCCUGGCCACAGAAGACUCUGUGACAUCAAAGAGGAGUUCUAUAGGAUUGCAGAUGGUCUGCAAUGCUGACUGUGUGAUCAGCAAUGUUGUGGCAAAAUGGCCUGGCUCAGUCCAUGACUCCAGAAUCUUUCGGGCCUCUGAAAUCUAUCAGUGCCUAUCACAAGGUGAAUUCUCUGGUGUGUUGCUGGGAGACAGGGGUAUGGCUGCCAGCCUUUUCUCCUGACACCUUUCACAGACCCCCAGGAAGCACAGCAGGCCUACAACCAUGCCCAUGCCAGGACCAGGGCCAGAGUUGAAAUGACCUUUGGCCUCCUGAAGGCACGCUUUCACUGCCUUCACAAAUUAAGGGUCAGCCCUGUUAGGGCAUGUGAUAUUACUGUGGCUUGUGCUGUCCUCCACAAUGUGGCCUGCCUGAGGAAGGAGAGGGCCCCCAGAGUGCCACCAGCCAUGGACUGGGACAAUCCGGCAAUCUUCCCUGAUGACGACAGUGGUCGGCUGCUGAGGGACCAAUAUGUGUUGAAUUAUUUUAGUUAGUAUGUGUGCUUUCAAUUUUGGUUAAAUAUGUCCUGCGGUGGCAGAGGAAUUUGGGUUUUUUUGGGUUCGUUUUUGACGAAUUUGGCCUCUUAUGAUGUUUGUGCGGUAUACUGUGUGUAAUACAAGGCUGCAGGGAGGCUACUGCAUCCAUUCAUUUGUCUGUUCAGUUGAUUUGUAUGGAUUUGUCCUGCAUUUAUUUUAGUGUGCAGACAUGCAGGGUGUGUUAUAUACAGACCUUUGAAUGUGUAUGUAUCAUUUUGUAUAAUAUGCUUGGAUUCUGUGCUUUCCAUCUUGUAGAGUCACUGUGACUUCAGUUUCGAAAGGAGCUGAUGGUUUACCUGCUUUGUUUUGUCCUUAUUCAAUAAAGGAACAUAAUGUUACACAUUGUGUUUUUAUAUUCA